GUCCCAUUAGAGGAAGUAAAAGUCGUAACAAGGUUUCCGUAGGUGAACCUGCGGAAGGAUCAUUAACGAGUUUGAAAUCGAGAGCCUGUUGCUGGUGCGGAAACGUACAUCGUGCACGGCUCCCGUGCUCAAUCCAUUUCAACCCCCUUGUGCACCUUAUCGAAGUCAGUAGUCUUUCUCUUUUUGUUUGCCGGUUGUGUGCGGGAACCUCUUUCUGUUCACUUGGCCGGCGAGGAGAAAUAGAGGGUCGAAAGCUUUGACUUUUCUGUUAAACACUUUGUAUGUCUUGUGGAACGUAUUAGCUCCUUUGUAGGGGCGAAAUAAAUACAACUUUCAACAACGGAUCUCUUGGCUCUCGCAUCGAUGAAGAACGCAGCGAAAUGCGAUAAGUAAUGUGAAUUGCAGAAUUCAGUGAAUCAUCGAAUCUUUGAACGCACCUUGCGCCCCUUGGUAUUCCGAGGGGCAUGCCUGUUUGAGUGUCAUGUUAAUCUCAAACCCCUUGUCUUUUUUGUUGACUUGGUCGGUUUGGACUUGGAGGUGUUGCUGGCGUGCGUCGGCUCCUCUUAAUUGCAUUAGCUGGACUUUGGUUCGCAUUUGACGGUGUAAUAGUAAAGUGUUCGCCGGGCGUGCUUGCCUAACGGGUCUGCUUCUAAUCGUCUUCGGACAACUCUGUUCAUUUUGACCUUUGACCUCAAAUCAGGUAGGACUACCCGCUGAACUUAAGCAUAUCAAUAAGCCGGA
RNAcentral lists this ribosomal RNA (741 nucleotides) under Phellinus sp. YD-2015. Its description in RNAcentral is "eukaryotic LSU rRNA". The stretch from base 329 to 482 matches the Rfam family "5.8S ribosomal RNA". Lineage: Eukaryota; Fungi; Basidiomycota; Agaricomycetes; Hymenochaetales; Hymenochaetaceae. The record is from RNAcentral.